This 484-nucleotide ribosomal RNA is filed under the name uncultured bacterium. Its description in RNAcentral is "partial 16S ribosomal RNA". It matches the Rfam family "Bacterial small subunit ribosomal RNA", at positions 30 to 507 of the family's 1533-position model. The record is from RNAcentral.
AUUGAACGCUGGCGGCAUGCUUUACACAUGCAAGUCGAACGGCAGCGCGGGCUUCGUCCUGGCCUCGAGUUGCGAACGGGCGAGUAAUUCAUCGGAACGUGCCCAGUAUUUGGGGAUAGCCUGGCGUAAGCCGGAUUAAUACCGCAUAGGACCUUAGGGUGAAACGGGGGGAUCGAAAGUCCUCGCCCUAUUUGAUCGGCCGUAGUCGGAUUAGCUAGUUGGUGUGGUAAAGGCUUACCAAGGCGACGAUCCGUAGCUGGGCUGAGAGGACGACCAGCCACACUGGAACUGAGACACGGCCCAGACUCCUACGGGAGGCAGCAGUGGGGAAUUUUGGACAAUGGGGGCAAGCCUGAUCCAGCCAUGCCGCGUGCGGGAAGAAGGCCUUCGGAUUGUAAAACGCUUUUGUUAGGGAAGAAAAACUGUGGGAUAAUACCCCGGGGGGAUGACGGUACCGGAAGAAUAAGCACCGGCUAACUACGUG